This 588-nucleotide ribosomal RNA is filed under the name Xylaria curta. RNAcentral's name for it is "eukaryotic LSU rRNA". The stretch from base 214 to 367 matches the Rfam family "5.8S ribosomal RNA". The record is from RNAcentral. Lineage: Eukaryota; Fungi; Ascomycota; Sordariomycetes; Xylariales; Xylariaceae.
ACACCUUCCGUAGGGUGAACCUGCGGAGGGAUCACUAAAGAGUCUAAACCACUCCCAAACCCAUGUGAAUAUACCAUCUGUUGCCUCGGCAGGUCGCGCCUACCUAGUAGCACCCUACCCUGUAGGGCCUACCCGGAAGACGCGGAUGACCUGCCGGUGGCCCACGAAACUCUGUCUAGUAUUAAAUUCUGAAUCUAUAACUAAAUAAGUUAAAACUUUCAACAACGGAUCUCUUGGUUCUGGCAUCGAUGAAGAACGCAGCGAAAUGCGAUAAGUAAUGUGAAUUGCAGAAUUCAGUGAAUCAUCGAAUCUUUGAACGCACAUUGCGCCCAUUAGUAUUCUAGUGGGCAUGCCUGUUCGAGCGUCAUUUCAACCCUUAAGCCCCUGUUGCUUAGCGUUGGGAGCCUACAGCACUCGUCUGUAGCUCCUUAAAAUUAGUGGCGGAGUCGGUUCACACUCUAGAACGUAGUACUUUUUACCUCGCCUGUAGUGAGACCGGUCCCUUGCCAUAAAACCCCCCAAUUUUUAAAAGGUUGACCUCGGAUCAGGUAGGAAUACCCGCUGAACUUAAGCAUAUCAAUAAGCGGA